GUGCCAGCAGCCGCGGUAAUACAGAGGUGGCAAGCGUUGUUCGGAAUUACUGGGCGUAAAGGGCGCGUAGGCGGCCCUGUAAGUCCCGCGUGAAAGCCCUCGGCUCAACCGAGGAACUGCGCGGGAGACUGCAAGGCUUGAGUUCGGGAGAGGGAAGUGGAAUUCCGGGUGUAGCGGUGAAAUGCGCAGAUAUCCGGAGGAACACCGGUGGCGAAGGCGGCUUCCUGGACCGACACUGACGCUGAGGCGCGAAAGCUAGGGGAGCAAACGGGAUUAGAAACCCUUGUAGUCC
RNAcentral lists this ribosomal RNA (292 nucleotides) under uncultured bacterium. RNAcentral describes it as "partial 16S ribosomal RNA". It matches the Rfam family "Bacterial small subunit ribosomal RNA", at positions 505 to 796 of the family's 1533-position model. The record is from RNAcentral.